Molecule: ribosomal RNA, 253 nt
Filed under: uncultured bacterium
Lineage: Bacteria
Description: partial 16S ribosomal RNA
Rfam family: Bacterial small subunit ribosomal RNA
Source: RNAcentral
UACGUAGGGGGCUAGCGUUGUCCGGAUUUAUUGGGCGUAAAGAGCACGCAGGCGGUUUGGCAAGUCGGAUGUGAAAACCCGGAGCUCAACUCCGGGCGUGCAUCCGAUACUGCCCGACUAGAGGUAGGUAGGGGAGAUCGGAAUUCCUGGUGUAGCGGUGAAAUGCGCAGAUAUCAGGAGGAACACCAAUGGCGAAGGCGGCUCUCUGGGACGGUACUGACGCUGAGACGCGAAAGCGUGGGGAGCAAACAGG